AAAUCAAUUAUCAGUAUUUUGAAAGUAUUGGCUAGGUUAAACAUUAUCCUUUGAUUUU
RNAcentral lists this transfer RNA (58 nucleotides) under Bemisia tabaci. RNAcentral's name for it is "tRNA-Ser". The record is from RNAcentral. Lineage: Eukaryota; Metazoa; Arthropoda; Insecta; Hemiptera; Aleyrodidae.